UGGCUAAUGAUGAUAAUUAAAUAAUCUUAGCGGAUUUCAGUGAGAUUUUAUUGUCAAUGAUCUGAUUGUUACACACACUGAGGCCU
Theobroma cacao (cacao) is the source of this 86-nucleotide small nucleolar RNA. It matches the Rfam family "Small nucleolar RNA R11/Z151". Rfam says of the family: snoR11/Z151 is a member of the C/D class of snoRNA which contain the C (UGAUGA) and D (CUGA) box motifs. Most of the members of the box C/D family function in directing site-specific 2'-O-methylation of substrate RNAs. The record is from Rfam. Lineage: Eukaryota; Viridiplantae; Streptophyta; Magnoliopsida; Malvales; Malvaceae.